This 72-nucleotide transfer RNA is filed under the name Verticillium dahliae VdLs.17. RNAcentral describes it as "tRNA-Arg (TCT) (tRNA-Arg-TCT-1-1)". It matches the Rfam family "tRNA". From Rfam's summary of the family: Transfer RNA (tRNA) molecules are approximately 80 nucleotides in length. Their secondary structure includes four short double-helical elements and three loops (D, anti-codon, and T loops). The record is from RNAcentral. Lineage: Eukaryota; Fungi; Ascomycota; Sordariomycetes; Glomerellales; Plectosphaerellaceae. RNAcentral also lists the same sequence under 2 other names.
CUCCGCGUGGCGCAAUGGUAGCGCGUAUGACUUCUAAUCAUAAGGUUGCGAGUUCGAGCCUCGCCGUGGAGU